AACGAGAAAGUGGGGCUUGCUCCACGAGUAAAGUGGCAAACGGGUGAGUAACACGUGAACAACCUGCCCUCGAGUGGGAAUAACACCGCGAAAGCGGUGCUAAUACCGCAUAAUAUCCCGGGGUCGCAUGGUCCUGGGAUCAAAGGCGCAAGUCGCUUGAGGAGGGGUUCACGGCUGAUUAGCUUGUUGGUGAGGUAACGGCUCACCAAGGCGACGAUCAGUAGCCGGCCUGAGAGGGCGAACGGCCACACUGGAACUGAGACACGGUCCAGACUCC
RNAcentral lists this ribosomal RNA (277 nucleotides) under uncultured bacterium. Its description in RNAcentral is "partial 16S ribosomal RNA". It matches the Rfam family "Bacterial small subunit ribosomal RNA", at positions 65 to 339 of the family's 1533-position model. The record is from RNAcentral.